UACGUAGGGGGCUAGCGUUGUCCGGAUUUAUUGGGCGUAAAGAGCGUGUAGGCGGCCCGGUAAGUCCGCUGUGAAAGUCGGGGGCUCAACCCUCGAAUGCCGGUGGAUACUGUCGGGCUAGAGUGCGGAAGAGGCGAGUGGAAUUCCUGGUGUAGCGGUGAAAUGCGCAGAUAUCAGGAGGAACACCGAUUGCGAAGGCAGCUCGCUGGAACGUAACUGACGCUGAGACGCGAAAGCGUGGGGAGCAAACAGG
RNAcentral lists this ribosomal RNA (253 nucleotides) under uncultured bacterium. RNAcentral describes it as "partial 16S ribosomal RNA". It matches the Rfam family "Bacterial small subunit ribosomal RNA", at positions 524 to 776 of the family's 1533-position model. The record is from RNAcentral.